UCCUCGGUAGUAUAGUGGUCAGUAUCCCCCGCCUGUCACGCGGGAGACCGGGAGUUCGGUCCCCGCCGGGGAG
Molecule: transfer RNA, 73 nt
Filed under: Trichonephila inaurata madagascariensis
Lineage: Eukaryota; Metazoa; Arthropoda; Arachnida; Araneae; Nephilidae
Description: tRNA-Asp
Source: RNAcentral